Molecule: ribosomal RNA, 416 nt
Filed under: uncultured eukaryote
Lineage: Eukaryota
Description: SSU rRNA
Rfam family: Eukaryotic small subunit ribosomal RNA
Source: RNAcentral
CAAUAGCGUAUAUUAAAGUUGUUGCAGUUAAAAAGCUCGUAGUUGAACCUUGGGUCUGGCUGGCCGGUCCGCCUCACCGCGAGUACUGGUCCGGCUGGACCUUUCCUUCUGGGGAACCUCAUGGCCUUCACUGGCUGUGGGGAGGACCAGGACUUUUACUUUGAGGAAAUUAGAGUGUUUCAAGCAGGCGCACGCCUUGAAUACAUUAGCAUGGAAUAAUAGAAUAGGACGUGUGGUUCUAUUUUGUUGGUUCUAGGACCGCCGUAAUGAUUAAUAGGGAUAGUCGGGGCGUCAGUAUUCAGCUGUCAGAGGUGAAAUUCUUGGAUUUGCUGAAGACUAACUACUGCGAAAGCAUUCGCCAAGGAUGUUUUUCAUUAAUCAGGGAACGAAAGUUAGGGGAUCAAAGAUGAUCAGAU